This 573-nucleotide ribosomal RNA is filed under the name Klebsiella pneumoniae. RNAcentral's name for it is "bacterial LSU rRNA". It matches the Rfam family "Bacterial large subunit ribosomal RNA", at positions 1025 to 1601 of the family's 2925-position model. The record is from RNAcentral. Lineage: Bacteria; Pseudomonadati; Pseudomonadota; Gammaproteobacteria; Enterobacterales; Enterobacteriaceae.
ACCCAGACCGCCAGCUAAGGUCCCAAAGUCAUGGUUAAGUGGGAAACGAUGUGGGAAGGCACAGACAGCCAGGAUGUUGGCUUAGAAGCAGCCAUCAUUUAAAGAAAGCGUAAUAGCUCACUGGUCGAGUCGGCCUGCGCGGAAGAUGUAACGGGGCUAAACCAUGCACCGAAGCUGCGGCAGCGACACUAUGUGUUGUUGGGUAGGGGAGCGUUCUGUAAGCCUGCGAAGGUGUGCUGUGAGGCAUGCUGGAGGUAUCAGAAGUGCGAAUGCUGACAUAAGUAACGAUAAAGCGGGUGAAAAGCCCGCUCGCCGGAAGACCAAGGGUUCCUGUCCAACGUUAAUCGGGGCAGGGUGAGUCGCACCCUAGGCGAGGCCGAAAGGCGUAGUCGAUGGGAAACAGGUUAAUAUUCCUGUACUUGGUGUUACUGCGAAGGGGGGGACGGAGAAGGCUAUGUUAGCCGGGCGACGGUUGUCCCGGUUUAAGCAUGUAGGCUGAUUGUCCAGGCAAAUCCGGAUAAUCAAGGCUGAGGUGUGAUGACGAGGCACUACGGUGCUGAAGUAACAAAUGCC